GACACUCUUAUCUCAACCACCAAAAAGCCAGAAGUGGAACUGUGGCUCAAAUGGUAGAGCACCAGCCUUAAGUGAAGAAGCUCAGGGACACUGCCCAGGCCCUGAGUUCAAGCCCCAGGACUGGCAAAAAAAUGC
Perognathus longimembris pacificus (Pacific pocket mouse) is the source of this 135-nucleotide long non-coding RNA. RefSeq lists it as uncharacterized. The transcript is spliced from 3 exons. The record is from RefSeq and is a predicted model, not a curated record. Lineage: Eukaryota; Metazoa; Chordata; Mammalia; Rodentia; Heteromyidae.